UACGGAGGAUUCGAGCGUUAUCCGGAUUUAUUGGGUUUAAAGGGUGCGUAGGCGGACUGGUAAGUCAGCUGUGAAAUUUUACGGCUCACCCUUGAAAUUGCAGUUGAUACGGUUGGUCUUGAGUAUACAUGAGGUGGGCGGAAUUUGUGGUGUAGCGGUGAAAUGCUUAGAGAUCACAAAGAACUCCGAUUGCGAAGGCAG
Molecule: ribosomal RNA, 201 nt
Filed under: uncultured bacterium
Lineage: Bacteria
Description: partial 16S ribosomal RNA
Rfam family: Bacterial small subunit ribosomal RNA
Source: RNAcentral